AUUCAAGUAGCUUAUAUUUAGAGCAUGGUUUUGAAGCAGCCAGGGAAAUUAUUUUAAUUCUUGAAUA
This 67-nucleotide transfer RNA is filed under the name Chironomus nipponensis. RNAcentral describes it as "tRNA-Phe". Lineage: Eukaryota; Metazoa; Arthropoda; Insecta; Diptera; Chironomidae. The record is from RNAcentral.